RNAcentral lists this non-coding RNA (203 nucleotides) under Allobosea sp. EC-HK365B. The record is from RNAcentral. Lineage: Bacteria; Pseudomonadati; Pseudomonadota; Alphaproteobacteria; Hyphomicrobiales; Alloboseaceae. RNAcentral also lists the same sequence under 7 other names.
GCCAUCAUCAGGCGUCGAGGUUCUCUGGUGUGGCUUGCUGCAUCGGAGCUAAGAGGGAAGCCGGUGUGAUGCCGGCGCUGCCCCCGCAACUGUAAGCGGCGAGCUUGCUGCCCACCCAUGUCACUGAGGCUUCCGGCCUUGGGAAGACGGGCACAAGCGACGACCCGUGAGCCAGGAGACCUGCCGCGACACCAUGAACGUCC